CGCGUGAGGAACCUGCCUUCCAGAGGGGGACAACAGUUGGAAACGACUGCUAAUACCGCAUGAUGCAUUUGAAUCGCAUGGUUUGAAUGUCAAAGAUUUAUCGCUGGAAGAUGGCCUCGCGUCUGAUUAGCUAGUUGGUGAGGUAACGGCCCACCAAGGCGACGAUCAGUAGCCGGACUGAGAGGUUGGCCGGCCACAUUGGGACUGAGAUACGGCCCAGACUCCUACGGGAGGCAGCAG
This 240-nucleotide ribosomal RNA is filed under the name uncultured bacterium. RNAcentral describes it as "partial 16S ribosomal RNA". It matches the Rfam family "Bacterial small subunit ribosomal RNA", at positions 114 to 354 of the family's 1533-position model. The record is from RNAcentral.